This 2876-nucleotide long non-coding RNA is filed under the name Homo sapiens (human). RNAcentral's name for it is "HSALNT0390235". Lineage: Eukaryota; Metazoa; Chordata; Mammalia; Primates; Hominidae. The record is from RNAcentral.
UCUAGGCUUGGUUGAGCCGCGCAGGAAGGUCCGAGGCUGGGGGAGCAGCCGUUGGCUCUGGUGCCCCUGGGGGUGGGAGCACGAGUGGGCAAGGAUGAUGGUGAGGCAGAGGAGGCGGCCCCGAGGGAGCGCCCGGCUGAGAGGCGGGGGGCCGAGGGGCCCGGGGAGCGGGCGUCACCGAGGGCCCUGGAAGCGGCAGGGCUGGGGGAGAGGAGACGCGUGUGUGGAGCAUGGGGACCCCAGCCCAGCUCCCACUUGCAGACCUGGGCCGCGGGCUGCCGGCCGAGUGGCCGGGGGGCCUGGCUGCCCAGGAGGCGGGCCGGGGCCGCGGCCGGGGGCGCGGAGCGGAGUUAGGGUCGCCAGGCCGAGCCGAGGUGGGACGGACCGACGCAGAGAGGAAGGGAAGCCACCUGGCCUGAAGAUCCUGUCUCUAAGAUCCCAUUCUGAGGCUUCGAGGGUCUGGCUUGAGCAGCACAGACAGGGACGUGUCUAACCGGGAUGACCAUGAGGUCUCAUCGCAGUUUGCCACUAACCAGGUCCACGCUGCUUUUAUGAGCUGUAACACUCACCGCGAAGAUCUGCAGCUUCACUCCUGAGCCCAGCGAGACCACGAGCCCACCGGGAGGAACAAACAACUCCAGACGCGCUGCCUUAAGAGCUGUAACACUUGCCGUGAAGGUCUGCAGCUUCACUCCUGAGCCAGCGAGACCACGAACCCACCAGAAGGAAGAAACUCCGAACACAUCUCAACAUCAGAACGGACAGACUCCAGACGCACCACCUUAAGAGCUGUAACACUCACCGCGAGGUUCCGCGGCUUCAUUCUUGAAAGCUAUCAGCUUCCCAGUUUGCACAAUUCAUCAAGAAAUUAUGCGGGGUCACUGGCACAAAUGAUGAGGCAUCUCCUGGAAGCUUAACUUCUUAUCCAUCCCAUCUCUUGGACAGAUGAUGCCAGUUAAUUACUUUGAAUCCAAAAGAGACCUGCCAGCUACAGUCAGCAUCGGUCAACCAUCUGUGAAACUGUGAGCUGACAACUUGUCCCCUCCCGGCGAAGGCCACAACAUCCCAACACCAUUAGUCACCAAGGAAGUCUGGGAGAAGUUUCUACCAACUGUAGCGAAAAAGGUGCAAGGGAGGAAACAUUUUGUUACUGCUGGCCCACUCUUCCCUCCGAAACAGCGCGGCAGCAUCUGGCAGAAAGAAAGUACAAGGGACUUCUAAGUGGGCAAUGCUGCCCCGUGCCCUCCAGACUUCUCAUCCCAGCAGGGCAGCAGCACAUGGCGCCCUGGGACAGGAGGCCUGCCGGGGCGUGGGGGCGGAGGCUGAGCUCCUGGGGGCACCACUUUAUGAGGAACCAUUUAUGGCCAAAACUCUACAGGGGCUUCAGGGACCUGAAUGAAUGCGUCUCUGUAGAGUGAGAGUCCUGGGCAGGAGGAGAAGUUUCCAUAGCUCAGGACCACAUGCUGGAAAUUUGGUCUCUGCAGCUUAAAAUCUGAGAGAAGAUGGUGUCUGCAGCAUUCAAAGGGGGACCAGAGGGACCCUCCACCCCCAGCUCCCCAGCUAUGACAAACAUGAGCUCUGGGUAGAUUCCUAUCCAUUCAAAGAACUGGAAAAGCCAAGCUGGGGCCCAUGAGUCAAGUCUGGAUGUGCGGCUCAGGGCAAGAGGACAGAUGGAUGCCACAGGCCGUCUGUCUAAAUAUUUGCAAGUUAUAAAUUAAACUAACAGGGUGUUAAAUAAAGUAUAUUCUAGCCUCAGCCCCUGACAAAUAUUCCUUUAAAAGGAUAAAAUUUUUUAGAUGUGUAUGAAGCUAUGAUUUGUAGAUAACAGAAAGUUAGCAAAAUGUCAAAGAUCAUACAAUUUCUUUGCUUUUUUUUUUUUGAGAUGGAAUAUCACUCUGUUGCCCCAGUUGGAGUGCAGUGAUGUGAUCUCAGUUCACUGCAGCCUCUGCCUCCCAGGUUCAAGCAAUUCCUCAUAUUGAAGCGAGUAAUAAAAUAAAGAAAUGUGUAAUUUAUAAAUUACUGAAAGUAUUCCAUGAAAUUUAUUUUUCUUAUCUUCCUUUCAGCAAAAUCAAUUAUGUUAUUAUUGUCAAGAUUUAAAAUACAUGUAAGGAUUAAAACAGUCAUAUUCAAAGUACAAAUAUCUUAAUAUUUUAAUCAAAAAUAUUUUUAUGUAAAAAAUUUAAUUUUGUCAGAAUCUCAAACAAUAUUCUUUUCAAAUAUUGAAAAGUAUCUAUUGCUGGGCACAGUGGCUCACGCCUAUAAUCCCAGCACUUUGGGAGGCCAAGGCAGGCAGAUUAUGAGAUCAGGAGUUUGAGACCAGCCUGGCCAAUAUUGUGAAACCCCAUCUCUACUAAAAAUACAAAAAACAAAACAAAACAAAAAAAAAAACUAGCCAGGCAUGGUGGUAUGCCUGUAGUCCCAGCUACUUGGGAAGCUGAGGCAGAAGAAUUGCUUGAACCCGGGAGGUGGAGGCUGUAGUGAGCCAAGAUUGUGCUACUGCACUCCAGCCUGAGCGACAGAGCAAGACUCCAUCUCAAAAAAAAAAAAAUAAGUAUCUAUUAAACCAAUAUGCAACAUACAAAUUGGAAUUAAUCAAAUUUGGGCCAGGCGUGGUGGCUCACACCUGUAAUCCCAGCACUUUGGGAGGCCAAGCCGGGCGGAUCACGAGGUUAGGAGAUCAAGACCAUCCUGGCUAACACGGUGAAACCCCGUCUCUACUAAAAAAUACAAAAAGUUAGCCGGGCAUGGUGGUGGGUGCCUGUAGUCCCAGCUACUCGGGAGGCUAAGGCAGGAGAAUGGCAUGAACCCAGGAGACAGAGCUUGCAGUGAGCCGAGAUUGCGCCAUUGCACUCCAGCCUGGGCAACAGAGUGAGACU